Oncorhynchus kisutch (coho salmon) is the source of this 3028-nucleotide long non-coding RNA. Lineage: Eukaryota; Metazoa; Chordata; Actinopteri; Salmoniformes; Salmonidae. The record is from Ensembl.
UAGUGGUGCCAGGAGACAGCCUGAGGUACCAGUUGAGUGGUUUGUCUGGACUGUACAGGAUCCACAUGGUGGCUCACACUGAUACAGGAGGGAGUCCUCCUGGUCCAAUGCUUGAUGUGGCUGUAGGGGGGGUUGUUUUAGUGGACACCAUCCUGUGGUGUUGCAUUCCUACAGUGCUCACUGUCAUGAUACUGCUGAACUGCCUACAGUGGAGACAGAGGAUAAAGCAGAAUCUCUGGCCUACAGUCCCUGACCCUGCACAUAGUAGCCUGUCCACCUGGAACACGGAGACUAAAUACACCACAGUCGUUUUCACUGGGGGGGGAAUCUCAGAGGAGAGAACACCAUUUCAAAUAAAGCCCCAGUGUCCCCACUCCCCCAGCAGGGGGCAGAAAACUAUUGAUGUUGAUUGUAUGUGGUAAUAUAAUUUCUUAUGACGUCUGAACCCUGUUCUUUGUUUUUCUGUUAUAUGUUCUGAAUUUGUUAAUGUUAUAACACACUGUGAGGUUUUCAUUGGCAUCUGUACAGUACUUUGAAUAUUGUUUUUAUCCAAUCAAGUUUCAUUGUGACCUGGCAAGUCAAAAUAAGGCCACUUGCAAAGUAAUUCAAGUAAUAUAUGUUUCAUCUGUUCUAUAUAUAUCCUUUAUAUGCUGUAACAUCGUAUCAUCUACUGAUGCUACUGAUGCAUGUCUACGUAUUUACUGCAGUUUCUUUUAAGAGCUGCUGUGUUAUAAGAGAGGCUAUAAGUCUGUCAAACCAGGCUAGAACAUCUAGCCCCAGGUCUAGUGCUGAUGAAGAAACAAAAAGUUAUCCCAGUUCCUCUGAGUCCUACUGUUGCUUGGUGAUGUUAAUUCUACAGUCCCAGCAGGACUUAUAAAACUCCCUUUGCUUUUGUAACUCAUAGAGUUUUAAUCUUUCCACAUACUGAGUCCAGUACGCCCACACACACUUUUUUAGAGCUUUGAAUAAUGCCCACAACUUAUGGCACAUUUAAACCCUAUUUUAUUUUUACUACCCAGUGUCAACCGGUCAACCCCAGUCAUGUGUGAGUCAGCAUCCCUGGUGUUUUUUGCUCUUUCAACAGCGGGUACAGAAGGGGUUGACAGUUUGGGAGGAUAGCAUGUUGUUAAAUACUGCAUACUGAAUUAAGGGUCCGGCUCUGCAUGGUAAACUAUGCAAAUGAUUUUCAAGAAUGCAGUAUUGGCUCCGGACAAGAAAACGCUGCAUGCGAUGCCUGCUGAGGUCUGUAGCCUACUGGCUCGAGUGGAUGGAGUUUGGUUGUCAUGGAUGUCAUGUCAUGUUGUAGCGACCUUAACUUAACACCUAAUGAGCUAGUCAAGAGUAUACGACCUCAUGGUGUCACAGUUAAGGUGUUGGCUACACAGUUACUGGACCCAUGUUCGAGUCCUGAUUGGGGCUACCCCUGAAUUUGUAACGAUAAUGUUAUUAGAAUGUUUAGAAUUAUAUUUAGUAAAUAAUUACUUGCCUUGAAUUCUGUGACUGAUCACUUUAGACUAAUCAUAUAACAUAUAAAAUAUAUAAAAAUAUCUUUAUUAUCAAUAUGUCACCAUUAAUGUAGAGUGCCAUGGAUUUCCCCCCAAAAUCCCAGUAGACACUGAUCUAUGGAAAUGCCCUAAAAUAUCCCCAUAAGUUUUAUGGCACAUGUAACACAGGCAACUCCCCAAUAGUCAGCUGCUAUCCACUGUGUGCACUGUAGAGUACUCUGAGAAACUAACUGCUUUACCACCAGCAAGACUGACAGGGGCUGGUGCAGAGCGCAAGGAUGAUUUCUGCUCUGCUUUCCUUUAUUGUUGCUGUCAGUAGCUACAGUAGGUUUCCAUCCAAUUGGGAGUAUUCAAAAAUCCGCAUAACAACAAUAUGUGCAUUUUCCCACAAGAGAUGUUUCCAUCAUUUCCAUUGACUUGUGUGAAUAAAAGGCUGUGCAUGAUGACGUAGUGCACAAAAAUAAAUUUUUGCUGUUAAAUUCCCAUAUACCAAAUAAAAAAUAUAAGUUAAAGGAAAAUUCCACCCCAAAACUUUCAAAAUACAGAAUACAGCCGUUAUGAUCAUAUGAUUCAAAAUGCAUCAUAGAGGCUGUAUUUCUGUAUUUUGAAAGUUACAUAUCUUGAAAACUUAAUUGCUGAGAUACAAAACAUUUUGAGACAAUAUCAACAAUGGAAAAAUGAAAUUAAUAUUACGAGAGUUUUUGUGUAGAGUUUUCCUUUAACCUCUACGGGUUCGGUGUCCCCCCCCCCCACCCACCCACGGGAUGGUUGAGUAAACGUGCUCUUAUGUGAUUAGCAUGACGUAAAUAACAAGAACAUUUCCCAGGACAUAGACAUGUCUUAUAUAGGCAGAAAGCUUCAAUUAUUGUUAAUCUAACUGCACUUUCCAAUUUACAGUAGCUAUUACAGUGAAAAAAAUACCUUGCUAUUGUUUGAGGAGAAUGCACAACAACAAAAAACUUUCAUCACGGCAACUGGUUUGACCACUGAAGGUAAAUAAAAUACUUACGUUUUUGUAAUUUUUGUAAUCUUGCUCUGAUUUGUCAUCCUGAUGGUCCCAGAGAUAAAAUGUAGAAUAGUCUUGUUUGAUCAAAUCUAUUUUUAUAUUCAAAUGUAGGAACUGGGUUCUACAGUUUGAAUCCCUGCUGUGUCUGGCCCCCCUCACCCCAUCUAGAUGUGUGAAGGUUGGUGUCUUUUCUGUAGGGAAGCUAAUUAUCCAUAAUUUAUGACAUUCCUGGGAGUGUGUAAACUUAAAUGUUGUAUUAUCAUAUCAUUUUUGUAUGUUCUCUAUUAUGUUGUGUACUUGAAAAAGUAUAAAUUGACGAAUUUGGCACAUUAUACAACAUUUUGAAUCGUAAUGCAAUGGUUCAUUGGAUCAAUCUAAAACUUUGUACACACACUGCUGCCAUCUAGUGGCCAAAAUCAAAAUUGCGCCUAGAGUCCUACGUGUAAUAAUGUAUUUUCUCUUGCAUUUCAAAGAUGAUGAAAAAAAUAAAAAUUUGAAAACGCAUGUUUUUUUCUUU